GGUACACGAGCGGCGAACGGGUGAGUAAAGAGGGUGAUCUGCCUCGCACUUCGGGAUAAGCCUGGGAAACUGGGUCUAAUACCGGAUAUGACCUUUCAGUGCAUGCUGUUGGGUGGAAAGAUUUAUCGGUGCGAGAUGGGCCCGCGGCCUAUCAGCUUGUUGGCGGGGUAACGGCCCACCAAGGCGACGACGGGUAGCCGACCUGAGAGGGUGACCGGCCACACUGGGACUGAGACACGGCCCAGACUCCUACGGGAGGCAGCAGUGGGGAAUAUUGCACAAUGGGCGGAAGCCUGAUGCAGCGACGCCGCGUGAGGGAUGACGGCCUUCGGGUUGUAAACCUCUUUCGACAGGGACGAAGCGCAAGUGACGGUACCUGUAGAAGAAGCACCGGCCAACUACGUGCCAGCAGCCGCGGUAAUACGUAGGGUGCGAGCGUUGUCCGGAAUUACUGGGCGUAAAGAGCUUGUAGGCGGUUUGUCGCGUCGUCCGUGAAAACUUGGGGCUCAACCCCAAGCUUGCGGGCGAUACGGGCAGACUUGAGUACUUCAGGGGAGACUGGAAUUCCUGGUGUAGCGGUGAAAUGCGCAGAUAUCAGGAGGAACACCGGUGGCGAAGGCGGGUCUCUGGGAAGUAACUGACGCUGAGAAGCGAAAGCGUGGGUAGCGAACAGGAUUAGAUACCCUGGUAGUCCACGCCGUAAACGGUGGGUACUAGGUGUGGGUUUCCUUCCACGGGAUCCGUGCCGUAGCUAACGCAUUAAGUACCCCGCCUGGGGAGUACGGCCGCA
RNAcentral lists this ribosomal RNA (790 nucleotides) under Nocardia brasiliensis. Its description in RNAcentral is "bacterial SSU rRNA". It matches the Rfam family "Bacterial small subunit ribosomal RNA", at positions 86 to 890 of the family's 1533-position model. Lineage: Bacteria; Bacillati; Actinomycetota; Actinomycetes; Mycobacteriales; Nocardiaceae. The record is from RNAcentral.